UUAAGGGGCGGAUUCAGCGUCUCAAUCUGACCGUAGCAUUUUGGAUGAAAUCAACAUGCGUGGCUCAGGGCUGCACAUUACUGUCGGACAUCGGACAAUGUCCGACUAAAUUUGGCAAAUGUCCGAGCAAAAGUAAUUUUGACCGGACAUUCGUCCGAUCACAUAAAAAAAAUUGUCACAUACAUUUUUUUGCUGUGACAAAAUCCGAUUGCAAAUUCACUCAAUUUGGCAUUCUAGCAUUUUACUUCACGUUGCGCCGGAAUGGCUAUACAUACUUGUCUCGUUACUUAUAUAUAUCUUGUGACAUAUAAUAUUAUAGUGGUGUUGGUUUUUGUCCGACCAAAUUCAAGUUAUGUCCGACCAAAAUUAAAAGUGAUCGGACAAAUGUCCUGUCAAGUCAAAUAUUUAUUUGCAACCCUGGUGGCUGAAGGCCACGCCAUACCUAGGGGGGUUGGGCGGCAUGCCCCACCAGAAAUAUUUUGAAAUUUGAAGCCCGCAACUUAGGGAGCAUUCAUUUUUUAGCUGGGGGGUGGGGGUGGGCCGGAGGAACUGAUGUCUAAUUCCAUGAUAAAACUUGGAACCCCAAGAG
Paramuricea clavata is the source of this 589-nucleotide non-coding RNA. The record is from the annotation of a GenBank genome assembly. NCBI's taxonomy places the organism in Eukaryota, Metazoa, Cnidaria, Anthozoa, Malacalcyonacea, Plexauridae.